GUGGGGAAUCUUAGACAAUGGGCGCAAGCCUGAUCUAGCCAUGCCGCGUGAGCGAUGAAGGCCUUAGGGUUGUAAAGCUCUUUCAGCUGGGAAGAUAAUGACGGUACCAGCAGAAGAAGCCCCGGCUAACUCCGUGCCAGCAGCCGCGGUAAUACGGAGGGGGCUAGCGUUGUUCGGAAUUACUGGGCGUAAAGCGCACGUAGGCGGAUCAGAAAGUCAGAGGUGAAAUCCCAGGGCUCAACCUUGGAACUGCCUUUGAAACUCCUGAUCUUGAGGUCGAGAGAGGUGAGUGGAAGUCCGAGUGUAGAGGUGAAAUUCGUAGAUAUUCGGAGGAACACCAGUGGCGAAGGCGGCUCACUGGCUCGAUACUGACGCUGAGGUGCGAAAGCGUGGGGAGCAAACAGGAUUAGAUACCCGUGUAGUCC
This 425-nucleotide ribosomal RNA is filed under the name uncultured bacterium. Its description in RNAcentral is "partial 16S ribosomal RNA". It matches the Rfam family "Bacterial small subunit ribosomal RNA", at positions 354 to 796 of the family's 1533-position model. The record is from RNAcentral.